CCUACGGGAGGCAGCAGUGAGGAAUAGUGGUCAAUGGGCGCGAGCCUGAACCAGCCAAGUCGCGUGAGGGAAGACGGUCCUAUGGAUUGUAAACCUCUUUUGUCGGGGAGCAAAAGACGCCACGCGUGGCGUUCCGAGAGUACCCGAAGAAAAAGCAUCGGCUAACUCCGUGCCAGCAGCCGCGGUAAUACGGAGGAUGCGAGCGUUAUCCGGAUUUAUUGGGUUUAAAGGGUGCGCAGGCGGAAGAUCAAGUCAGCGGUAAAAUUGAGAGGCUCAACCUCUUCGAGCCGUUGAAACUGGUGUUCUUGAGUGAGUGAGAAGUAUGCGGAAUGCGUGGUGUAGCGGUGAAAUGCAUAGAUAUCACGCAGAACUCCGAUUGCGAAGGCAGCAUACCGGCGCUCAAUUGACGCUCAUGCACGAAAGUGUGGGUAUCGAACAGGAUUAGAGACCCCGGUAGUC
RNAcentral lists this ribosomal RNA (459 nucleotides) under uncultured bacterium. RNAcentral describes it as "partial 16S ribosomal RNA". It matches the Rfam family "Bacterial small subunit ribosomal RNA", at positions 338 to 795 of the family's 1533-position model. The record is from RNAcentral.